This 253-nucleotide ribosomal RNA is filed under the name uncultured bacterium. RNAcentral describes it as "partial 16S ribosomal RNA". It matches the Rfam family "Bacterial small subunit ribosomal RNA", at positions 524 to 776 of the family's 1533-position model. The record is from RNAcentral.
UACGAAGGGGGCUAGCGUUGCUCGGAAUCACUGGGCGUAAAGGGUGCGUAGGCGGGUUUUUAAGUCAGGGGUGAAAUCCUGGAGCUCAACUCCAGAACUGCCUUUGAUACUGAAGAUCUUGAGUUCGGGAGAGGUGAGUGGAACUGCGAGUGUAGAGGUGAAAUUCGUAGAUAUUCGCAAGAACACCAGUGGCGAAGGCGGCUCACUGGCCCGAUACUGACGCUGAGGUGCGAAAGCGUGGGGAGCAAACAGG